Molecule: transfer RNA, 99 nt
Filed under: Anopheles arabiensis
Lineage: Eukaryota; Metazoa; Arthropoda; Insecta; Diptera; Culicidae
Also listed under: 1 other name
Description: tRNA tRNA-Tyr
Rfam family: tRNA
About the family: Transfer RNA (tRNA) molecules are approximately 80 nucleotides in length. Their secondary structure includes four short double-helical elements and three loops (D, anti-codon, and T loops). Further hydrogen bonds mediate the characteristic L-shaped molecular structure. tRNAs have two regions of fundamental functional importance: the anti-codon, which is responsible for specific mRNA codon recognition, and the 3' end, to which the tRNAs corresponding amino acid is attached (by aminoacyl-tRNA synthetases). tRNAs cope with the degeneracy of the genetic code in two manners: having more than one tRNA (with a specific anti-codon) for a particular amino acid; and 'wobble' base-pairing, i.e. permitting non-standard base-pairing at the 3rd anti-codon position.
Source: RNAcentral
CCUUCGAUAGCUCAGUUGGUAGAGCGGUGGACUGUAGAGAGAGAGAUGACGCAGAAUGUAGUAAUCCAUAGGUCACUGGUUCAAAUCCGGUUCGAAGGA